AGAAUUCAUUCUUAUCUCUCUAUAUAUUCUUAACUAGGAAUUAUACUGCGAUCUCUAUAAGACCUCAAAAAUGUGUUGAAUUUGUAAAACACAUAUUUUAAUUUGCAAGGCAAGCUUUUUAUAUGUACCCCACAUACUUACUUUAUUGGUAGCUUGCUUCUCUAGAAGAUAUUAUAAAAUUAAUUUAUUUUUAUCUACUUUUAUCUACUUCUACUUAAUCAUAUAAAUAUCUAUUAGAGUACAUGUAUAUAUCUAUUAUAUUAU
RNAcentral lists this long non-coding RNA (264 nucleotides) under Physcomitrium patens. RNAcentral's name for it is "long non-coding RNA (PPAT_LNC009438)". The record is from RNAcentral. Lineage: Eukaryota; Viridiplantae; Streptophyta; Bryopsida; Funariales; Funariaceae.